GAGUUUGAUCGUGGCUCAGAUUGAACGCUGGCGGCAGGCCUAACACAUGCAAGUCGAGCGGUAGAGAGAAGCUUGCUUCUCUUGAGAGCGGCGGACGGGUGAGUAAUGCCUAGGAAUCUGCCUGGUAGUGGGGGAUAACGCUCGGAAACGGACGCUAAUACCGCAUACGUCCUACGGGAGAAAGCAGGGGACCUUCGGGCCUUGCGCUAUCAGAUGAGCCUAGGUCGGAUUAGCUAGUUGGUGAGGUAAUGGCUCACCAAGGCGACGAUCCGUAACUGGUCUGAGAGGAUGAUCAGUCACACUGGAACUGAGACACGGUCCAGACUCCUACGGGAGGCAGCAGUGGGGAAUAUUGGACAAUGGGCGAAAGCCUGAUCCAGCCAUGCCGCGUGUGUGAAGAAGGUCUUCGGAUUGUAAAGCACUUUAAGUUGGGAGGAAGGGCAGUAAUUAAUACUUUGCUGUUUUGACGUUACCGACAGAAUAAGCACCGGCUAACUCUGUGCCAGCCG
This 509-nucleotide ribosomal RNA is filed under the name uncultured bacterium. RNAcentral describes it as "bacterial SSU rRNA". It matches the Rfam family "Bacterial small subunit ribosomal RNA", at positions 9 to 514 of the family's 1533-position model. The record is from RNAcentral.